This is a long non-coding RNA of Junco hyemalis (dark-eyed junco), 1851 nucleotides long. The record is from Ensembl. NCBI's taxonomy places the organism in Eukaryota, Metazoa, Chordata, Aves, Passeriformes, Passerellidae.
GGGCUGGAUAACUCUGCCAUGCUAAUGACACACCCGGAGCAGAGCGUGACUGACUCCUGAUGGGGCCACCCCACCCUGCCCAGCAGGGAGGGACAGUGCCAGCACCUGCACGUGCUGAAACUGAAACCCUGGCUCUGGCAGCAUCGGCUCCUUCUCAGCAACCUCCUCCACCAUCAGCAUCAGAGUCCCAGCCGCAAUGCUCAAAUCCAGGAAAAUGGAAAAGCCUUGGGAACUGUAACCAGGUUCAGCUGGCUGGUUUGGUUAUAUCAUCCCAAAUUGCAAGCAAAUUCACAUUUUCAUUUCAGUGCCCAUCACUGCAUUAUCCAGGCGCCACCAUAAGAUUAAGGAGCUCUGCAGUGACAUUCUCAACGUGGUCUGCUCAAAGGUCAUUAGCAGAGCCUUCCAUUCUGGAAAAGCCCAGAGGAGGGCACGGGAGUGAGCCACAGAAGGGGAGGAGAAGGAGAAGGAGAAGGAGAAGGAGAAGGAGAAGGAGAAGGAGAAGGAGAAGGAGAAGGAGAAGGAGAAGGAGAAGGAGAAGGAGAAGGAGAAGGAGAAGGAGAAGGAGAAGGAGAAGGAGAAGGAGAAGGAGAAGGAGAAGGAGAAGGAGAAGGAGAAGGAGAAGGAGAAGGAGAAGGAGAAGGAGAAGGAGAAGGAGAAGGAGGAGGCAGCAACUGGAGCCUUUCUGGCUGUGCUCCAUGGAGGGGACGUGCUCAGGUGGUGCUGCAGUGCAGGGGCCUGGUGGCAGUGGCCCUUGUGCUGCUGCAGGGACUGUCACACUUGCUGUGGGCUCCUGUCACCUCAGACUUUGGCUCCCAUGGCCCUGCUGUCCCUGAGCUGCUCUCAGAUGCCAUUCCCAUGCUGGGACUGUAUGAUUCCAGGAUGCUCCAGCCUCAGAGCAGGAUAUUUCCCUCAAAGAUCCCAGAGCAGGCACUGCCACUCAGGAAGCACCUUCUCUGAGAGGAUACACUAGUUAAAUUUUAUCUUCCUCCCAGUGGGCAAAUCCUCCCAGCUCCCUGUGUUCGAAGGAGCCAGAAAGGGUUUCAAUGUGCACAGAGCUACCCUGGACCCACGGGAUCAGGAGAGAGGACGCUGUCCCAGGGCUCCCAGUGCUGUCCCCCUGCAGCUGCGGUGUCUCUGGGGACAGCCUGGGGAGGUGGCAGUGCCCGCGCCCCGCUCCCACAGCUGCUGGUAAGUGACAGUGUGGCACAGCUGUUCUCCAGAGCUGGCUCAGAGCUGAGGGGCAGUGGCAGCGAGCUGACGUGCUGCUCCAACGAGCCCUGCAGCCCUCGUGCCCCUCUCGGUGCCCAGGCAGCCGGGGAUUUACGCUGGCGGAUAAAUAGGUGGUGCCAAAGCGAGAAGGAAAGAGCCAAAGCUGGAAGCCAACCACAGAACGUGGGUGUAAACGAUUACCAAAGGCUUCCAGUAACUCUGCUAUCAUCAGAGACUGGCUUUAUGGGUAUGGCCUCAAGAAGUUUCCCUCCACUUAAUUAAAGAGGCAGAUAAGUAUCUAGGUGGAGUGUGCAGAUAGGUUCUGAAUGAGUUAUCCACUAAGGCUGGUUCGCUGCACCUAUUGUUAAAGCCAGAAUAUAAUAUCAGAUUAAUGCAUUAUAUUUGCCUAUUAUAGCACUAUGUCAUCAUUAUAUGACAUGUUAUAAUUAAAGCUCUGCAUUAGAAACAAAACUAUUUGGCUUGGGAUAAGUUGCCUUUAUGACUUCUGUGGUUAUGAUUUCCUCCUUUUCUUAACCCCUUAAAACUGCAUAAUAUACCUAUUUGUAGCUGUAUAAAGAAAGUUUCUAGUUUCAGAUUCUAAUCUCAGGUAAUUCAAUGUAAAUAAAAUCAAAAUCUGGCACA